Molecule: ribosomal RNA, 450 nt
Filed under: uncultured bacterium
Lineage: Bacteria
Description: bacterial SSU rRNA
Rfam family: Bacterial small subunit ribosomal RNA
Source: RNAcentral
AACGAACGCUGGCGGCAUGCCUAACACAUGCAAGUCGAACGAAGCCUUCGGGCUUAGUGGCGCACGGGUGCGUAACGCGUGGGAAUCUGCCCUUGGGUUCGGAAUAACAGUUAGAAAUGACUGCUAAUACCGAAUGAUGUCUUCGGACCAAAGAUUUAUCGCCCAAGGAUGAGCCCGCGUCGGACUAGCUAGUUGGUGAGGUAAAGGCUCACCAAGGCGACGAUCCGUAGCUGGUCUGAGAGGAUGAUCAGCCACACUGGGACUGAGACACGGCCCAGACUCCUACGGGAGGCAGCAGUGGGGAAUAUUGGACAAUGGGCGAAAGCCUGAUCCAGCAAUGCCGCGUGAGUGAUGAAGGCCUUAGGGUUGUAAAGCUCUUUUACCCGGGAUGAUAAUGACAGUACCGGGAGAAUAAGCCCCGGCUAACUCCGUGCCAGCAGCCGCGGUAAU